RNAcentral lists this ribosomal RNA (774 nucleotides) under Escherichia coli. RNAcentral describes it as "partial 23S ribosomal RNA". It matches the Rfam family "Bacterial large subunit ribosomal RNA", at positions 1145 to 1921 of the family's 2925-position model. The record is from RNAcentral. Lineage: Bacteria; Pseudomonadati; Pseudomonadota; Gammaproteobacteria; Enterobacterales; Enterobacteriaceae.
CUAGUCGAGUGACACUGCGCCGAAAAUGUACCGGGGCUAAACAUAUUACCGAAGCUGUGGAUUGUCCUUCGGACAAUGGUAGGAGAGCGUUCUAAGGGCGUUGAAGCAUGAUCGCAAGGACAUGUGGAGCGCUUAGAAGUGAGAAUGCCGGUGUGAGUAGCGAAAGACGGGUGAGAAUCCCGUCCACCGAUUGACUAAGGUUUCCAGAGGAAGGCUCGUCCGCUCUGGGUUAGUCGGGUCCUAAGCUGAGGCCGACAGGCGUAGGCGAUGGAUAACAGGUUGAUAUUCCUGUACCACCUAGUAUCGUUUUAAUCGAUGGGGGGACGCAGUAGGAUAGGCGAAGCGUGCUGUUGGAGUGCACGUCCAAGCAGUAAGGCUGAGUGUUAGGCAAAUCCGGCACUCGUUAGGCUGAGCUGUGAUGGGGAGAGGAAAUUGUUUCCUCGAGUCGUUGAUUUCACACUGCCGAGAAAAGCCUCUAGAUAGAUAACAGGUGCCCGUACCGCAAACCGACACAGGUAGUCAAGAUGAGAAUUCUAAGGUGAGCGAGCGAACUCUCGUUAAGGAACUCGGCAAAAUGACCCCGUAACUUCGGGAGAAGGGGUGCUCUUUAGGGUUCACGCCCAGAAGAGCCGCAGUGAAUAGGCCCAAGCGACUGUUUAUCAAAAACACAGGUCUCUGCUAAACCGUAAGGUGAUGUAUAGGGGCUGACGCCUGCCCGGUGCUGGAAGGUUAAGAGGAGUGGUUAGCUUCUGCGAAGCCACGAAUCGAAGCCCC